This 485-nucleotide long non-coding RNA is filed under the name Hordeum vulgare. Its description in RNAcentral is "long non-coding RNA (HVUL_LNC013033)". Lineage: Eukaryota; Viridiplantae; Streptophyta; Magnoliopsida; Poales; Poaceae. The record is from RNAcentral.
CCGGCCUUGUCUGAUCGCUCAAGGUUCUCCCGAGCUCUCUCCCGAUCAGGGCAUGCUUCCGAUAUUUUUUAGGUCGUAGCUUCACUUCCAACCUUCCGAGUCCCCCUGAUUUGAUCGGAUCUACUUGCCGGCGGCACGAAUGCAAGCAACAGUAGGGCAGGGACUGGUGGCAUAAUUCGCGUCACGAAUUUGAGCAAAAAUAUCGUGAUGUUCAUGGGCUAGCAGGGGCCAGCCAACACCAUCAGAAGACAGCGCAAGGCUAACGCAGAUGAGAAAUCAUCGUUUACCUAGCAGGCGCCCAUGCCGCCAAGCAAAACGGAAGGCAUGCGCUGGUUGAGUGCCAAGGCUAAGGUUAUAUCAAUUGGGAGAUAUAAUUUAGGCAUCACCGUCUAGUCUCCCUGUCCGCAUCAGGUACAUCCAGGCCAAAGCAGAUUUUUUUUUACUCCUUCAACAAUUUAGUGACUAAUGAGUGUACUGAACAUGUG